UCCCUGGUGGCUCAGAUGGUAAAGAAUCUGCCUGCUAUGCAGGAGACCCAGGUUCGAUCCCUGGGUUGGGAA
RNAcentral lists this transfer RNA (72 nucleotides) under Ovis aries (sheep). It matches the Rfam family "tRNA". Rfam says of the family: Transfer RNA (tRNA) molecules are approximately 80 nucleotides in length. Their secondary structure includes four short double-helical elements and three loops (D, anti-codon, and T loops). Lineage: Eukaryota; Metazoa; Chordata; Mammalia; Artiodactyla; Bovidae. The record is from Rfam by way of RNAcentral.